GAUGAACGCUGGCGGCGUGCCUAACACAUGCAAGUCGAGCGGCAGCGAGGGGUGCUUGCACCCUGUCGGCGAGCGGCGGACGGCUGAGUAACGCGUGGGAACGUGCCCCAAAGUGAGGAAUAACUGCCCGAAAGGGUAGCUAAUACCGCAUAUUAUCUUCGGAUCAAAGGAUUUAUCCGCUUUGGGAGCGGCUCGCGUCGGAUUAGGUAGUUGGUGAGGUAAUGGCUCACCAAGCCGACGAUCCGUAGCUGGUCUGAGAGGAUGACCAGCCAGACUGGAACUGAGACCCGGUCCCGACUCCUACGGGAGGCAGCAGUGAGGAAUCUUCCCCAAUGGGCGAAAGCCUUAUGGAGCAACGCCGCGUGCAGGACGAAGGCCUUCGGGUUGUAAACUGCUUUUAUAAGUGAGGAAUAUGACGGUAACUUAUGAAUAAGGAUCGGCUAACUACGUG
RNAcentral lists this ribosomal RNA (451 nucleotides) under uncultured bacterium. Its description in RNAcentral is "partial 16S ribosomal RNA". It matches the Rfam family "Bacterial small subunit ribosomal RNA", at positions 28 to 507 of the family's 1533-position model. The record is from RNAcentral.